GCUCCGGUGCUGUGGUGGUGCAUUUGCAGGUGGAGUGCGCCGAGGCGUCCGGCUCAGCGGCAUGAGCUCGGCUUUGAGGCCAACCGCGCAAGCGGUCUGGUACCCGGGUCGGGGGAGUGCUGUUUGGGCUGGGCGUUCGCUUGGGUUGUGGUUUCGGGCCCGGGUGGGUGCCGAGCUGGCGGUCGGCGGCGGUCGCAUGCGACACGUGCCAGCAGUCAGUUCGGUCCYGCUCGAGCUCACAUCUGCCCGGCCUCGGUGUAAAAGCCGGUCAUCUGUCCGACCCGUCUUGAAACACGGACCAAGGAGUUUAGCGUGUGCGCGAGUCAUUGGGCGUUGAAAACCCAAAGGCGCAAUGAAAGUGAAGGUCUGCCUUGUGCAGCUGAUGUGUGAUCCUGGGUGCCGCGGUGCCCGGGCGCAACAUAGUCCCGU
This 429-nucleotide ribosomal RNA is filed under the name Helicotylenchus caudatus. Its description in RNAcentral is "partial large subunit ribosomal RNA". Lineage: Eukaryota; Metazoa; Nematoda; Chromadorea; Rhabditida; Hoplolaimidae. The record is from RNAcentral.